CUUUGUGGCACCAGAACUUCCUUGCAGCUGAUGGAGUGUGAGCUUGGGACUACCCUAUUACUCUUGUGGGUUUUACCCAGAAGCAAAAGGAUUUCAGGCCAAGGGAAGUAGAUCUUUUCUUGUGCUAAUUUACAACCCGAAAUAGAUUUGUGUUUGAUUGCUGACAUUUACAACUGCUUUUUUUGCUAUAUUUUCUAUGUAUAGGAUUCCAUUUCUACCCUUUUCUGCUGCUGGCUCGGCUGUAAUGCCCUUUUGCCUGGAGGGAGGAAGAGGAACAGAUGGCAUGCAGCUAGGCAAUUAUACAACAUAGUAAAAGCAUGGUCAGGCUCAAAUUUACACAAAGAUGCCCAUGCUCAUGUCAUACUCUGGAAUGAUCCAGUUACAUAUUCUUGCUAGCACACCAAGGAAAACGAAAAACGACAGUGAGCAGCAAGUGACAACACACCUGGAGUUACAAAGACUAUCAUUUUCUAAGCUCUUCCUUUUUCUCUCCUCAUCAGUGUCUGCAUGUAAUGGAUGAUGUGACAAACAAAACAAAGCAAUACAAAAAACUCAAAGAGACAGUAAUAGAAAAAAAUAAUUGAUGCUGAAUACAGAAAAUACAGAAAAAAAUGUCAUCAUUUCCGAAGUGACAUUAUCGCAACCAGAUUGCAGCUGGUUCUUGGAAUCCAGAAGGCAGACAUAAAGGGUUUAGGAAUCUUGAGAAAGCAUGAAAACAUCUUUUCCAGUCUAGUGGCCAGCAAGUCCAAAUACACAAGGUUGAAAAAGUGGAUAAAAAAAUAUUAUUGUAUUUCCAA
Molecule: long non-coding RNA, 797 nt
Filed under: Cyanistes caeruleus (blue tit)
Lineage: Eukaryota; Metazoa; Chordata; Aves; Passeriformes; Paridae
Description: lncRNA (ENSCCEG00000015393.1)
Source: RNAcentral